Molecule: long non-coding RNA, 1783 nt
Filed under: Equus caballus (horse)
Lineage: Eukaryota; Metazoa; Chordata; Mammalia; Perissodactyla; Equidae
Description: lncRNA (ENSECAG00000057880.1)
Source: RNAcentral
UGUGGAGUGAGGACAGAGGGGAGAACGUGAUGUCGUGUGUGGGACUUCAACAGAGAGCACUGACAAAGAACGUCCAGGCCACAGGGAGCCACUGUGGGAGCCGGAGCAGGGGAGCGACAGGAAUGGACACGGGGCUCCCCCGCAGUGACCCAGCCCUCUAGCCAGGUGUGCACAGCAGAGCAGGAUGACAAGAACAGACAUGCUACUGAUGAGCACUCACUGAGAGCGGGUCGUUGUGGAAGCUAAUGAGUUAAUACGUACAAACUGUCUGGAAUGCAGAGACGUCCGUUAGCCAUUACUCGAAUCGUUAUGAUGUGCUGUGGACCAAGGCUUCCUGGCCAGUGGUCCGAAGACCUGGGCUGUGAUCCACCUCUGCCGCUACUCUCCACGUGGCCUUGGGGGCCUACUAUCAGUCUGUGCAUCUCUCACGCAAUGUGUGCACCACGUGGCUCUGCUGCAUGGCACCUUCCCUCUGGACUCAGGCCGCCAGGGCAGGCUGGGUCGGGAAUGCCACCGUGGCCUCAGAAGGAGGAGAAGUUGUCAAGCCCACGCCGGUUCUUGCAGCUGCUCAGCCCCUGUGCCCUGCCCGAGAACAACAAGGGGCAGGGCCGCCAAAUCCUCCAGGGAGGGAGGAGCCACCACAAGGGCCCUGAGCGUGGGCGAGCCAUCAUCCAGUUCCACACCACGCUACGAUUCUGCAGACUAUCCCAGAAGCAAGGACAACCACUGAAUAAAUUCUCCAUUUGCAGCAAGUCACGCUGGCCACAGCGAGGAGGACAACAGACUGGAAACGGGCAAGAGUGAUAAUAAAUUGGGAGAAAAAUUGGGAGGGCGUUUCAAUUUUCCAAGCGCAAAACAGGACAGUCCUUUAGACGAGGGUGAUGGCAGUGGAAGUGGGGAGACACCAACAGGUUUAAAAGAUGGGAGGAUUGACUGAGGGGCCUGGGUGGCUAUGUGGCCCCAGGGUGGGGAAGGAAGGGAGCAGGCUUGGCUUCUCCUGUCUCACCAGCCGCGGGCUCUGGUCUUUGGGGAAGGCCGGUGAGCCUAUUCUCUGUUUGUUCUGGGGCUCCCUGUGUUCUCCCAAUAAAUCUCCCAUCUUGUUCAAAAGAAGAGCAUGAGCUGAAUAAAGGAGGGAACCCACGGCUUAAUAAGGCGAGGAGUGCUGAGUGAACUGAAGAAUGAGUGAUAGAGCCACCAGGGGGAUUCACUCAUGUCCCCAGCUGUUCAAAGAAUGAAGAGAAGGUAGGCUCAACCAGAAGAAAAAGGAAGUGGUCCCCACUGGGCAUACUCCGAGGGACCCCUCCUCCCCCACCAACGCCUCAGGGUCUCCACUCCUCCAGGGUGCGGACCAAUUUCAGCUGAGACAGAGAAGGGAGGGGUGGGCGGGAAGGAGGAGGGAAGGAGAGGCAGGCGACAUGGACGGUUCCGAGGGACCUCUGCCUCAUCCUCUCCUCCCGCCGUGUGGCCUCUCUGUGCUUCCCUUUCGGAGUCCACAAUUUCACCAUCCGUGGUGGGCGGGUUUGGGAGUCACCAACACGCCAGGAGAGAUUUUCUGUCGCAGCAGCAGCAUUGGGCAGCUCACAGGAGCUCAGAGCCCAGGGUCCUCCUCUGCCCUGGGUGCCCUUAACGGCCCGAAGGGGAAGGACUCAAAUGUGCAACUGUGUGACUGUGGCCUCCGCUCAGCCCAGCCCGCCUCUGGAGCAUCAUGGUCACUGUCCGAGAUGCUCACGGGCUGACUCGCAGCUGGAGACACGCUCUGAGACCAAGCCCCACCGUGUCAGAG